UUUUGUAAAAAAAAUAUAAAAAAAAAUAAGCUUAGUUCAAAAGUAGUGCACUACUUAGGGUUGCCAUGGGGUUCUGGUCUAAAGUAGUGCACUACUUAGGGAAUGGGGUUCUGGUCUAAAGUAGUGCACUACUUAGGGAAUGGGGUUGCCAUGGGGUUCUGGUCUAAAGGAGUGCACUACUUAGGGAAUGGGGUUGCCAUGGGGUUCUGGUCUAAAGUAGUGCACUACUUAGGGAAUGGGGUUGCCAUGGGGUUCUGGUCUAAAGUAGUGCACUACUUAGGGAAUGGGGUUGCCAUGGGGUUCUGGUCUAAAGUAGUGCACUACUUAGGGAAUGGGGUUCUGGUCUAAAGUAGUGCACUACUUAGGGAAUGGGGUUGCCAUGGGGUUCUGGUCUAAAGUAGUGCACUACUUAGGGAAUGGGGUUGCCAUGGGGUUCUGGUCUAAAGUAGUGCACUACUUAGGGAAUGGGGUUGCCAUGGGGUUCUGGUCUAAAGUAGUGCACUACUUA
Oncorhynchus masou masou (cherry salmon) is the source of this 508-nucleotide long non-coding RNA. RefSeq lists it as uncharacterized. The record is from RefSeq and is a predicted model, not a curated record. Lineage: Eukaryota; Metazoa; Chordata; Actinopteri; Salmoniformes; Salmonidae. The transcript is spliced from 3 exons.